UUUCCGUAGGUGAACCUGCGGAAGGAUCAUUAUUGAAUAAACCUGAUGUGGUUGUAGCUGGCCCUUUCGGGAGCAUGUGCACACCCGUCGUCUUUAUCUUUCCUCCUGUGCACCUUUUGUAGACCUGGAUGUAACACUUUCCGAGGCAACUCGGUCGGGAGGAAUGCUGUCAGCUUUCCUUGAAUGUCCAGGCCUAUGUUUUCAUAUACCCCAAAGAAUGUAACAGAAUGUAUUAUUGGGCCUUGUGCCUAUAAACUAUAUACAACUUUCAGCAACGGAUCUCUUGGCUCUC
This 292-nucleotide unclassified non-coding RNA is filed under the name plant metagenome. RNAcentral's name for it is "partial contains small subunit ribosomal RNA, internal transcribed spacer 1, and 5.8S ribosomal RNA". The record is from RNAcentral.